AUGAAGCACUGGGCUUAUAAGUCAUAUAAGUCGAGUACAUGCAGGAAGCACUCGGCUUUUAUGCCAUGUAAGCCGAGGUCUUUGACAGGGCACACAGCUUAUAGGCUACCGUGUGACGGCUCCGUCAGCCACCUCCGUAGCAGACACAUAGCAGAUAUCUUUGCCGACGCACCUAAACAGGCGCCCAGCAUUGAGGAGAUUCUGAAAGGGAAGAUGCUGGUGAUGGAUCUCCCUAUUAGUCCUAUCCGAGUUGGAAAGGUUAGUUUACCUUGGCCAAACCUCCUGCAGGAUGGGGGGCUCUUUCAAUCGAUGGUUCCUACGUUGAGGACACAGGACGGGCGGGUAUGGGUAUGGUACUACAGGACUCGGUGGGCAAACCUUCAAAGAUCAGAGCUACCAAUCAUCAUUCAAUCUGAUUGCCCUGUUCUGGUGGCAGCUUUAACGGAUGACUCACGGAACAAAUCUGCUCAUGGACAUCUAAUCUUGGGAAUGAGGAGGCUCCUGGAACAGCGUGAGUUUAUUCCACAAAAAUUAGAUCAACAUCAAAAUAGUGUUGCUCAUUGUCUUGCUAAUAUUGGCCGUUCUGGGGGUAGCACUGCCUGUUGGUUGCACCGUGUUCCGCAAAGUUCGCAUAGGCCUGUUGCUGAUGGAGCUAGUAGUCAUCCUUACAUCUACGUGGAUCAACACUAA
RNAcentral lists this ribosomal RNA (690 nucleotides) under Triticum aestivum (bread wheat). RNAcentral describes it as "partial small subunit ribosomal RNA". Lineage: Eukaryota; Viridiplantae; Streptophyta; Magnoliopsida; Poales; Poaceae. The record is from RNAcentral.